This 280-nucleotide unclassified non-coding RNA is filed under the name uncultured fungus. RNAcentral's name for it is "sequence contains ITS1". Lineage: Eukaryota; Fungi. The record is from RNAcentral.
UUUUUUCAUUAAUUUUGAUGGGUCGUGUGAGUAAACACAUGUCGCCAAUUAUUGAAAGUUAAGAUCAGGUCAACAUUUGAAAUGUUAUUAAUAAAGAUGGGCGUCUCGAGAGACACCACAAAUUUAGUUUGGUUACGUGGGACGCAAUAGUCGGAUCCGGGGUUUUUACGCCCUUCACUUUCUAUUGUUUCUGACGGCGGUCGCCGCAUGCCGAAGCACACGUAGACUGCACGCCGGAAGAGGUGUGGUAAUGAUCCUUCCGCAGGUUCACCUACGGAAA